GGGACUCAUGAUAGAGGAACUCAAUCACACAGAUAGCUACAUCGAGAGGUUCAUCUUCAGUUCUGAUGGGUUGCCAUCACAUACUGCUAGGUAUCACUGAUAGAUUUUGAGAACAAUUAGAAUGAUAUUGAUGAUCGAUCAUUCUAAUUGUCUGAAUCAGAAGAGUUCUGAUCCAUCGAAAGGAGUUUCGAUGAUGUCGAUGAUGAGAUCACGAUAUGUCUUAUUACCAUACAGAAUUGAACCUAACUGG
RNAcentral lists this long non-coding RNA (250 nucleotides) under Elaeis guineensis (African oil palm). Its description in RNAcentral is "long non-coding RNA (EGUI_LNC059757)". Lineage: Eukaryota; Viridiplantae; Streptophyta; Magnoliopsida; Arecales; Arecaceae. The record is from RNAcentral.